RNAcentral lists this ribosomal RNA (425 nucleotides) under uncultured bacterium. RNAcentral describes it as "bacterial SSU rRNA". It matches the Rfam family "Bacterial small subunit ribosomal RNA", at positions 356 to 773 of the family's 1533-position model. The record is from RNAcentral.
AGGGAAUCUUCCACAAUGGACGAAAGUCUGAUGGAGCAACGCCGCGUGAGCGAUGAAGGCCUUCGGGUCGUAAAGCUCUGUUGUUAGGGAAGAACAAGUAUUGGAGUAACUGCCGGUACCUUGACGGUACCUAACCAGAAAGCCACGGCUAACUACGUGCCAGCAGCCGCGGUAAUACGUAGGUGGCAAGCGUUGUCCGGAAUUAUUGGGCGUAAAGCGCGCGCAGGCGGUCCUUUAAGUCUGAUGUGAAAGCCCACGGCUCAACCGUGGAGGGUCAUUGGAAACUGGGGGACUUGAGUGCAGAAGAGGAAAGCGGAAUUCCACGUGUAGCGGUGAAAUGCGUAGAGAUGUGGAGGAACACCAGUGGCGAAGGCGGCUUUCUGGUCUGUAACUGACGCUGAGGCGCGAAAGCGUGGGGAGCAAAC